Molecule: ribosomal RNA, 292 nt
Filed under: uncultured bacterium
Lineage: Bacteria
Description: partial 16S ribosomal RNA
Rfam family: Bacterial small subunit ribosomal RNA
Source: RNAcentral
GUGCCAGCAGCCGCGGUAAUACGGAGGAUCCAAGCGUUAUCCGGAAUCAUUGGGUUUAAAGGGUCCGUAGGCGGUUUAAUAAGUCAGUGGUGAAAUCCCGUCGCUCAACGAUGGAACUGCCAUUGAUACUGUUAGACUUGAAUUAUUGGGAAGUAACUAGAAUAUGUAGUGUAGCGGUGAAAUGCUUAGAUAUUACAUGGAAUACCAAUUGCGAAGGCAGGUUACUACCAAUAUAUUGACGCUGAUGGACGAAAGCGUGGGGAGCGAACAGGAUUAGAUACCCGUGUAGUCC